CGCAGCCGACUCGUUCAGCACCUCCUGUUAACAAAACACACAAGGGAAACCGUUAAGUGUUUGGGUUCCGGGGGGAGUAUGGUCGCAAGGCUGAAACUUAAAGGAAUUGACGGAAGGGCACCACCAGGAGUGGAGUUUGCGGCUUAAUUUGACUCAACACGGGGAAACUCACCAGGUCCAGACAUGGGAAGGAUUGACAGAUUGAGAGCUCUUUCUUGAUUCCGUGAAAGGUAGCGCAUGGCCGUUCUUAGUUGGUGGAGUGAUUUGUCUGGUUAAUUCCGUUAACGAACGAGACCUUGGCCUGCUAACUAGUUGCGGGGGUUAUUUUUUGACAAGCAAUUGCCAAAGCGCGACUCCAUGCAGACCAGCAAUGGUCGCCGCACUUCUUAGAGGGACAAUCUGCGUUUUUAGCAGAGGGAAGCUAAAGGCUAUAACAGGUCUGUGAUGCUCUUAGAUGUCCUGGGCUGCACGCGUACUACACUGACGAACGCAACGAGUGUUUUUGUUUUGGGCCCUUAAGCAAUUUUGGGUGCAAAUCUCCUUGGCCGAAAGGUCUUUUGGGUAAUCUUGUGAACGUUCAUCAUUUUUUGUUUAUCGUGAUGGGGAUAGAUGAUUGUAAUUAUUCGUCUUGAACGAGGAAAUCCUAGUAAGUGUG
Molecule: ribosomal RNA, 655 nt
Filed under: Raphidocystis glabra
Lineage: Eukaryota; Centroplasthelida; Acanthocystida; Raphidocystidae
Description: SSU rRNA
Rfam family: Eukaryotic small subunit ribosomal RNA
Source: RNAcentral